GAUGAACGCUGGCGGCGUGCCUAAUACAUGCAAGUCGAGCGGAGAAUUUAGCAAUAGAUUCUUAGCGGCGAACGGGUGAGUAACGCGUUGGUGACCUGCCUCGAAGUUUGGGAUAACAGUUCGAAAGGACUGCUAAUACCGGAUGUGAUCGCGGAGAUUAGAGGCUCUGUGAUUAAAGGAGAAAUUCGCUUCGAGAGGGGCCUGCGUCCCAUCAGCUAGUUGGUAAGGUAAAGGCUUACCAAGGCGAUGACGGGUAGGGGACCUGAGAGGGUGGCCCCCCCACAAUGGAACUGAAACACGGUCCAUACACCUACGGGUGGCAGCAGUAGGGAAUAUUGCAUAAUGGGCGAAAGCCUGAUGCAGCAACGCCGCGUGUGCGAUGAAGGCCUUGGGUCGUAAAGCACUUUUGGAGGGGAUGAGGAAGGACAGUACCCUUCGAAUAAGCUUCGGCUAACUACGUGCCAGCAGCCGCGGUAAU
This 478-nucleotide ribosomal RNA is filed under the name uncultured bacterium. RNAcentral's name for it is "bacterial SSU rRNA". It matches the Rfam family "Bacterial small subunit ribosomal RNA", at positions 28 to 524 of the family's 1533-position model. The record is from RNAcentral.